RNAcentral lists this long non-coding RNA (300 nucleotides) under Homo sapiens (human). RNAcentral describes it as "HSALNT0367601". The record is from RNAcentral. Lineage: Eukaryota; Metazoa; Chordata; Mammalia; Primates; Hominidae.
CAGUAAUUUUUCUCUUUGGCCAAAAUUCUGUUACUGUAUUGAUCCUACCAGGCCACUUCACUCCUUUAGAAGAUAUCUACUUCAUCCUUUCCCUUGGCAACCACCAUUCAACUGUCUGUCAUGAGCUUUCUUAAGAAGUUAUCUUGGAAGUGGAUUCUUCAGCCCCGCUUCUUCCAGACUCUAGUAGUUUAAGUCUUUCCAGCUGGAUUUAAGGGAUGAGAGUGGAUGCAUGAAUUGAGGAGUCUCCAUCUGAGGAACUGAAAGACUGUGAAGAGCACAGCCCCCCACUGUUCACCUGAU